RNAcentral lists this ribosomal RNA (315 nucleotides) under Streptomyces sp. RNAcentral describes it as "bacterial SSU rRNA". It matches the Rfam family "Bacterial small subunit ribosomal RNA", at positions 976 to 1286 of the family's 1533-position model. Lineage: Bacteria; Bacillati; Actinomycetota; Actinomycetes; Kitasatosporales; Streptomycetaceae. The record is from RNAcentral.
AAGGCUUGACAUACACCGGAAACGUCUGGAGACAGGCGCCCCCUUGUGGUCGGUGUACAGGUGGUGCAUGGCUGUCGUCAGCUCGUGUCGUGAGAUGUUGGGUUAAGUCCCGCAACGAGCGCAACCCUUGUCCCGUGUUGCCAGCAGGCCCUUGUGGUGCUGGGGACUCACGGGAGACCGCCGGGGUCAACUCGGAGGAAGGUGGGGACGACGUCAAGUCAUCAUGCCCCUUAUGUCUUGGGCUGCACACGUGCUACAAUGGCCGGUACAAUGAGCUGCGAUACCGUGAGGUGGAGCGAAUCUCAAAAAGCCGGU